This 429-nucleotide ribosomal RNA is filed under the name Triticum aestivum (bread wheat). Its description in RNAcentral is "partial small subunit ribosomal RNA". Lineage: Eukaryota; Viridiplantae; Streptophyta; Magnoliopsida; Poales; Poaceae. The record is from RNAcentral.
AUGGCCACCGGCCGUCCAUGGUCGCCGCCGCAAGGAUCUGCUCGCCUCCGCUGCCUCCGCGCCAUCCCUGUCGCCGGAGGAUGCAGCCCCGCCGCUUCCAAGUCCUCUGCUUCGCCCGUGGUCGAGCGAGACGACCAUAAACGCAGCCGCGUUGACCGCCCGCUCGCCAGCGCCUUUCUGCCUCGCUGGCAAGGCCCAGCCUGCUCCAGCUCCUCAUCCGGCAUGCCAGGCCUCUCCACCAGCUGGGCCGAGGCCCAUGGUGAGAACCUCCCCCAGCGCCCAUGUCCUGUUUCAGCCUGUGCUCUAAUUCAGCCCGCAUGUGUUUUUUUUACUGCUGCGAAUUUAACAUUAUCCAUUGUAUUACUGAUUUACAGAAAACCCCUCCAUGUUCAUGCAUAUAAUAACUCAUUAUCCGUGCGUCAUAUGUAA